RNAcentral lists this transfer RNA (75 nucleotides) under archaeon BMS3Bbin16. RNAcentral's name for it is "tRNA-Lys". It matches the Rfam family "tRNA". Rfam says of the family: Transfer RNA (tRNA) molecules are approximately 80 nucleotides in length. Their secondary structure includes four short double-helical elements and three loops (D, anti-codon, and T loops). The record is from RNAcentral. RNAcentral also lists the same sequence under 1 other name.
GGGCCCGUAACUCAGUCUGGCAGAGUGGUUGGCUCUUAACCAAUUUGUCGCGGGUUCAAAUCCCGUCGGGCCCGC